RNAcentral lists this ribosomal RNA (497 nucleotides) under uncultured bacterium. Its description in RNAcentral is "partial 16S ribosomal RNA". It matches the Rfam family "Bacterial small subunit ribosomal RNA", at positions 28 to 507 of the family's 1533-position model. The record is from RNAcentral.
GAUGAACGCUGGCGGCGUGCCUAAUACAUGCAAGUCGAGCGAACGGACGAGAAGCUUGCUUUUCUGAUGUUAGCGGCGGACGGGUGAGUAACACGUGGAUAACCUACCUAUAAGACUGGGAUAACUUCGGGAAACCGGAGCUAAUACCGGAUAAUAUUUUGAACCGCAUGGUUCAAAAGUGAAAGACGGUCUUGCUGGCACUUAUAGAUGGAUCCGCGCUGCAUUAGCUAGUUGGUAAGGUAACGGCUUACCAAGGCAACGAUGCAUAGCCGACCUGAGAGGGUGAUCGGCCACACUGGAACUGAGACACGGUCCAGACGCCUACGGGAGGCAGCAGUAGGGAAUCUUCCGCAAAGGGCGAAAGCCUGACGGAGCAACGCCGCGUGAGUGAUGAAGGUCUUCGGAUCGUAAAACUCUGUUAUUAGGGAAGAACAUAUGUGUAAGUAACUGUGCACAUCUUGACGGUACCUAAUCAGAAAGCCACGGCUAACUACGUG